Molecule: ribosomal RNA, 1437 nt
Filed under: Paraclostridium sordellii
Lineage: Bacteria; Bacillati; Bacillota; Clostridia; Peptostreptococcales; Peptostreptococcaceae
Description: partial 23S ribosomal RNA
Rfam family: Bacterial large subunit ribosomal RNA
Source: RNAcentral
UGGUCAAGUUAUUAAGGGCGCAGGGCGGAUGCCUUGGCACUAAGAGCCGAUGAAGGACGCGAUAAGCUGCGAUAAGCUUCGGGGAGUUGCACGUAAACUUUGAUCCGAAGAUUUCCGAAUGAGGAAACUCACUUAGAGUAAUGUCUAAGUAUCAUUAAGUGAAUACAUAGCUUAAUGAGGGGAACCCGGGGAACUGAAACAUCUAAGUACCCGGAGGAAAAGAAAGAAAUUCGAUUCCGUAAGUAGCGGCGAGCGAACGCGGAAUAGCCCAAACCAGUGAAGUUUUCUUCGCUGGGGUUGCGGACACAUCAUCAACGAAGAGGUAUCGUAAACGAAGAGAGUUGGAAAGCUCCGCUAUAAAGUGUAAUAGCCACGUAGUUGAAACGAGAAGACUUUAGAUGUGAUCCAGAGUACCACGGGACACGUGAAACCCUGUGGGAAGCAGGAGGGACCAUCCUCCAAGGCUAAAUACUACUUAGUGACCGAUAGCGCAUAGUACCGUGAGGGAAAGGUGAAAAGAACCCCGGGAGGGGAGUGAAAUAGAACCUGAAACCCUGUGCUUACAAGCUGUGGGAGCACUUUAUAUGUGUGACCGCGUACUUUUUGUAGAACGGGCCAACGAGUUACGACAGUAAGCAAGGUUAAGUACUUAAGGUAUGGAGCCGUAGUGAAAGCGAGUCUUAAAUGGGCGUUAAGUUUUCUGUCGUAGACCCGAAACCGGGCGACCUACCCAUGAGCAGGAUGAAGCGAAAGUAAAAUUUCGUGGAGGUCCGAACCCACGAGCGUUGAAAAGCUCGGGGAUGACUUGUGGGUAGCGGUGAAAUUCCAAUCGAGCCCGGAGAUAGCUGGUUCUCCCCGAAAUAGCUUUAGGGCUAGCCUCAAGGUUGAGAAAUACGGAGGUAGAGCACUGAAUAUCCUAGGGGGCAUUGCGCUUACCGAAGAUUAUCAAACUCCGAAUGCCGUUAUUUUAUACUUGGGAGUCAGACUGUGGGUAAUAAGAUUCAUAGUCGAGAGGGCAACAGCCCAGAUCGUCAGCUAAGGUCCCUAAAUGUAAGUUAAGUGGUAAAGGAUGUGGGAUUGCAUAGACAACCAGGAUGUUGGCUUAGAAGCAGCCACUCAUUUAAAGAGUGCGUAAUAGCUCACUGGUCGAGUGAUCCUGCGCCGAAGAUUACCGGGGCUAAAACUUACUACCGAAGCUACGAUAUCAUUUAUGAUAGGUAGGGGAGCUUCCUAUGCAGGCUGAAGCAUGACCGUAAGGACAUGUGGACAGUAUAGGAGUGAGAAUGUUGGCAUGAGUAGCGAGACGUGGGUGAGAAUCCCACGGGCCGUAAACCCAAGGUUUCCAGGGGAAGGUUCGUCCGCCCUGGGUUAGUCGGGACCUAAGCCGAGGCCGAAAGGCGUAGGUGAUGGACAACAGGUUGAGAUUCCUGUACCACC